Podarcis lilfordi (Lilford's wall lizard) is the source of this 69-nucleotide non-coding RNA. The record is from the annotation of a GenBank genome assembly. NCBI's taxonomy places the organism in Eukaryota, Metazoa, Chordata, Lepidosauria, Squamata, Lacertidae.
GCCAUAGCUCAGUGGGAGAGCAUCUGCCUUGCAUGCACAAGGUUCCGGGUUCAAUCCCUAGCAUCUCCA